AAGUUUGAUCCUGGCUCAGGAUGAACGCUGGCGGCGUGCCUAAUACAUGCAAGUCGAACGAGUUCUCGUUGAUGAUCGGUGCUUGCACCGAGAUUCAACAUGGAACGAGUGGCGGACGGGUGAGUAACACGUGGGUAACCUGCCCUUAAGUGGGGGAUAACAUUUGGAAACAGAUGCUAAUACCGCAUAGAUCCAAGAACCGCAUGGUUCUUGGCUGAAAGAUGGCGUAAGCUAUCGCUUUUGGAUGGACCCGCGGCGUAUUAGCUAGUUGGUGAGGUAAUGGCUCACCAAGGCGAUGAUACGUAGCCGAACUGAGAGGUUGAUCGGCCACAUUGGGACUGAGACACGGCCCAAACUCCUACGGGAGGCAGCAGUAGGGAAUCUUCCACAAUGGACGCAAGUCUGAUGGAGCAACGCCGCGUGAGUGAAGAAGGCUUUCGGGUCGUAAAACUCUGUUGUUGGAGAAGAAUGGUCGGCAGAAGUAAACUGUUGUCGGCCGUGACGGUAUCCAACCAGAAAGCCACGGCUAACUACGUGCCAGCAGCCGCGGU
This 551-nucleotide ribosomal RNA is filed under the name Lacticaseibacillus casei. RNAcentral's name for it is "bacterial SSU rRNA". It matches the Rfam family "Bacterial small subunit ribosomal RNA", at positions 9 to 521 of the family's 1533-position model. The record is from RNAcentral. Lineage: Bacteria; Bacillati; Bacillota; Bacilli; Lactobacillales; Lactobacillaceae.